UAUAAUCCAACCCUCUAUCUUUCAUUAUUAGCAAAUGUAUCCCAAAUCUUAACUUAUUUCCAACUUACAAAUUCAAAAAUUGUGGAUCAUAACUUAAUUUAAUCAUUUGGUCAAUUGAAGUCCUAACAAAAUAAUCGACCACAUUCAAUUUCAUACUUGACUUAAGGUUCGACUAAUUAAUAAUCACUUCACGUAUACGCAACAUUUAACACCUCAUGCUUGUAGUCAUUAGCUAUCUCUAACAU
RNAcentral lists this long non-coding RNA (245 nucleotides) under Olea europaea (common olive). RNAcentral describes it as "long non-coding RNA (OEUR_LNC000765)". The record is from RNAcentral. Lineage: Eukaryota; Viridiplantae; Streptophyta; Magnoliopsida; Lamiales; Oleaceae.